This 394-nucleotide ribosomal RNA is filed under the name uncultured bacterium. Its description in RNAcentral is "bacterial SSU rRNA". It matches the Rfam family "Bacterial small subunit ribosomal RNA", at positions 113 to 518 of the family's 1533-position model. The record is from RNAcentral.
CGACGUGAACAACCUGACCCAAAGAGGGGGAGUAACAUUUGGAAACAGAUGCUAAUACCGCAUAAGACCACAACGUCACAUGGCGAAGGGGGUCAAAGGAGCAAUCCGCUUUGGGAGGGGUUCGCGUCCCAUUAGGUAGUAGGCGGGGUAACAGCCCACCUAGCCAACGAUGGUAGCCGAGCUGAGAGGCUGAUCGGCCACACUGGAACUGAGACACGGUCCAGACUCCUACGGGAGGCAGCAGUGGGGAAUAUUGGGCAAUGGGCGCAAGCCUAGACCCAGCAACGCCGCGUGAGGGAAGAAGGUUUUCGGAUUGUAAACCUCUGUCGCAGAAGACGAAGGAAGUGACGGUAUUCUGUGAGGAAGCCCCGGCUAACUACGUGCCAGCCGCCGC